Molecule: long non-coding RNA, 751 nt
Organism: Bombus impatiens (common eastern bumble bee)
Lineage: Eukaryota; Metazoa; Arthropoda; Insecta; Hymenoptera; Apidae
Exons: 2
Source: RefSeq, a predicted model, not a curated record
UUCGACGAAUUGGGUCGAAUUCGAGUCGAGAAACGACAGCACAGAAUUGAGAAUCGAAUUAAUUAAGAUGCCUCGAGUGGUUUCCACUUUCGUGGUUUUCGUUCUCCGAUUACAUUAAAAACUCAAGGAUUCCUUAAGAAAACUAGGACAUAACACAUUUGCUGCCACGAUGAUGAUCGGUAACCCACGUUACUAAAUAUUUUAGCACGAUUCAAGUAUUAUAGAUUUCAGGAGCUAAAAAUGUUCGAUAACGUGAGUGACAUAGAUAAUAUUAUGAAAAAGUGCACAAGUACAAUACAAUAUUUUGGAAAAAUUCAAUAUUAUGGUGUAGUAUAUUUUAAUCUACUGUAACUCCCAUGACACAAGAUGUAUAAUAUAUAAAAUUCGCAUGAUAAGCAACAUGUAAUGUCACAUGUUCCUAACUCUCUCAGAUAGCAAAGGAUUUCUAAGAAAAGAGAAAAGAUAAUAAGAGUAAGUUUUCAAACUGAAGCACAAUCUUCAAGAUUAUAUGAUUUACCUUUAUCAAGAUUUUAAUUGCAUUUCGGUUAAAAACCUUUAAAACUUAAUCGUAAUUCAUUUAUAGGUCUUUCAGGGAGCAAAAGGUUCCUAGAAAAAAAAGAAAAGAUAAUAACUCUUCAAAAAGGAACAUAUCUUUAAGAUUAUAUGAUCUAAAUUUGAUUGUGUUUCAAUUAAAAAUCUUCAAGAUUUUAUGUUAAUUCAUUUUUGUCUUUCAGAGAGCAAAGGGAUCCUG